UUUUUUUCUCCUCUGGCGCCACUUUACAUCAACGCUAUGGUAUUUGCAUCGGUAUCGGCGUCGCCCUUGUGCCUUUUGCAGCUUAUUAUUCUUCCUAGGGAGGUUAGCUGAGAGAUAGCUAAUAAGUGACAACAAGAGGCUGGAAGCGUGGCUUCGGAUCUGGUCGACUUGUACUUAUGCUGGUGUGCUGCGUAGUAUAGGUACAGCAUCAUCCAGCACGUCAGGUCAGUGUCAGACUACGGGCCCGGAGUGUAUGAUUCGAUUAGAGAAGUCGCUGGCGGCUUCAGUUUAAGUAAGAGAAGCUUCUAAUUCAGCUUUGGGAGUCGGUAGAGGAUGCCUGGCAACUGACUUUCGAUGCUUGCCGAUGAGGUUUUUCCCAUUAGAAUAUCAGCUGGGAGUUUAUCGCAUCUCCCUGGCCGGCAAGCUAGGCAGCCGUGUUUUGUUUCCACAGCUUCAAAGCGGGUUGCUUUCGAGCUGCCCCACGAAACAUCCAAUGUAUAUGUCCAUAUGGCAUGACAGCCUUGGAUCCUGGCGCGCCGGUGAAUGGCGAUUGGACCUUCGGCAUCGGCACGACGCCUGUCGCAGCAAGCAUUCAUUCAUGCUGUCAAAGCUGUCAGCGUUCACGCAGAGACAUCUGCUUCAAGUUUAUCAACAUGGGAUUCAAGAGCAUAUACCGGUAUCAUUCUUCGAGCUGGCAGCUGGCUGACGUGAAGACUGAGGCCGAAACUUCUGUCCCGUCCCGGUGCGCACCUGACCUGCAGAAGAGGCUGUGCUGUACGUGAGAUAGGUAGAGGGGUCGACGAUGACUCGAUGAGACAGACGGCUAGAAAUCUGGAACGCAAGGCACGACGGAGUACUGGCUUCAGAGGAUCCAUCCUUCCCCCAGUUGCUUUCGCCCGUCGCCAUGCAGCUCCAAUUUCCUUCUUGUAAGUUUCUUCUGAGCAGAUUGCUACUGGCAGCUUGGUCAGUCGUCCGCGACAGUGACACACCGUGCCUUUUCGAAUUUCUUGUGAUUUUGCACAGAGGGUGAGACUUUGACAAACCUGGGCACUGGACACGGCUUUCAAACCAAGAUCUUUUUUUUUUUGCCUGUCUCACUCGUCUCAGUGACGUUCAUUCACCUAAAAGCAGUCAACGAGGCAAGCAUACAGCAUUACUUAUGUAUGGAAGUUGGAAGGCCAUUCUGAUGAUUCCAUUAUUACCUCAGGUACUUGUUGAAACUUUUUUGUAACUUUCAGAUCAGACAGUGUAUUCUGAACAGUUACAAAGUUCUAAUUUUCCCGAAUUCAUAAUACCGAUA
Molecule: long non-coding RNA, 1300 nt
Organism: Zea mays
Lineage: Eukaryota; Viridiplantae; Streptophyta; Magnoliopsida; Poales; Poaceae
Exons: 2
Source: RefSeq, a predicted model, not a curated record